Molecule: non-coding RNA, 18 nt
Filed under: Arabidopsis thaliana (thale cress)
Lineage: Eukaryota; Viridiplantae; Streptophyta; Magnoliopsida; Brassicales; Brassicaceae
Source: RNAcentral
UUAGGGUUGUUUUAUUGU